CACCAGAGAUCUGAGCAAGGGUGACAAAGCGGCCUCUGGAAAUGAAAUCAGUUUGGGGCACCUCUCUAAUUUCAACUCUUGGAGAGAUAUGAGACUUUGCAAUCCGUUUGGCAGCUCCUCCAGGUUAGCACAGUCUUGUAUUUUCAAAAUUUUAAGUUUGCAAGGUAGCAUUUGCUCCUCCAACGUUACAAGCCAGUGACACCGUCCAAUAGCUAAUGUUUCAAGACAACUACCAACCCCACUUCUGAACACCACCCCUUCACAUUCUUCUAAACUUAAUUCACCAAGAGAUGCAAAUCCUGAAAAGGGAACUUUCAAAUUUGGACACCCAAAGAUAUCAAGUUUAACCAGAGAAGGUAGGCAAUCAGGCAACUGUAUACCUAGCUUUGAGCAUCUCCUUAUUGUAAGUUCUCGAAGGAAUGGAAAUGGUCCCACUUGUUCAUCUGCAUCUGGAAAAAACCAAUCUUUCCAUGUUGGCAUAUUUUCAAACUUCAGAAACUCCAAGGAUGGAAAAGACUUGACAAUCCCUCCAUAAAAGUCCUCAUCUAUGGUUCUAACUUCACUCAUCCCUUCGAUAUGCAAGUUUUUGAGUAAGGAUAAUUGGCCGAGAGCCGGUAACGAUGUGCAUAUCUUGCAAUUCUUGAGAACCAAGUGUGUCAUUAAAGGGAAUGAGGGAUUCUUUAUCCAACUUGGAAAGUUUGGUCCACCAUAGAAUGCAAUGGUGAGCUUUUCCAGAUUUCUAUGAGGUUGUAGCCACUCUAAAACAAGCCUCUCAUUCAUUUUAUUUCUUGAUUCACCAAAAUCACUGCUCCAUUUCAGUGUUAACUCUUUGAUGUUCUGCUUCUUCUGUAAAUUAACACUCCUUGCAUCUUGAAUAUCUACCACAUUAUGCAACCCUGAAAUAGAAAGCUUUCCUUGGAGACCCAGCAAAUUCUUUAAUUCUUUGACACCCGACCUGCUACCUUUGCCCACAAUAAAGUCGGAUAAUGUUUGCAAAUUGGUUAAGUUUCCCAUUUGAGGGGGCAUCUCCUGUAGUUGAACUGCACCAGAAAUAUCAACAUGUCGAAGGUUGAUGAGGCCUCCAAUUCCCAUAGGCAACUCAACAAGUCUAUAGCAAUUGCGUAAUAUCAGUGUUUGCAAAUUAUAAAGAUGACCCACUGAAUCGGGUAACCUAUUCAUCAAAGAAUCAGAUAAAUUCAAAUAGCGCAGAUGUUUCAAACCGCCUAUGGAAUUUGGUAACAUCUCACUUAUGAAAUAACCGCUUAAUGACAAUACCCGCAAACAUUUCAUUUCUUUUAAAAGGUCAUCUAGCACCUUACUUGAAAUGAAAUAUGUAGAAAAUGUAGUGAGUGGCAAAGCAACUAACGUCCGCAAACACUUAGCCUUAUGAAACGCUUCGAAUUUUCUCAUCAUCUCGUAACGUUGACGAUUGAAUGACAAAUGACGAGCCUUCUCUGAAACAGCCGUGGAUUGCUUAUUAUUCUCUAACUCAUCAUCAAAAUUAUAGCAUAUGUCUCCGGAAAUAGAUUGAGCUAGAUCGUUAAUAAGAUCAUGCAUUAAAAAUUGGGAUGAAUUUUGAGUUGACUGUUGAAAAAAUGACCUUGAGAAUAAAUCAUCAAAGUACUCACAACCUAACUUCUCAGGCUGGUUGUCUCCCUUUGUUUGUUGCAGAAAACCUUCUGCCAUCCAUAAUAGGAUUAAUUCAUCUUUGUGGAAUUCAUAGUCUUUUGGAAAUAUCGAGCAAUAAGCAAAACACCGCUUCAAAUGAGAAGGAAGAUGAUGGUAGCUUAGCUUGAGAGCCGGAAGAAUAUGACUUUUCUCCUCCGGGAGAUCCCAUAUCUUGCUUGUUAAUAUAUCUUCCCAUGCUCUGCGAUUUAGUUGAUUGCGCAACAUGCCACCAAGCGCCUUUGCUGCCAAAGGCAAGCCUUUGCACCUUCUGACUAUCUCCUCUCCAACUUCUUUCAGGUGUGGAUAAGCAUCAAAGUUUCUUGCCCCUAAUGCUUGUCGGGUGAAUAAAGAUAGACAAUCAUCAUAUGAUAACUCCUGAAGGGGAUAAGCUGAACAAGUU
Molecule: long non-coding RNA, 2068 nt
Filed under: Vitis vinifera (wine grape)
Lineage: Eukaryota; Viridiplantae; Streptophyta; Magnoliopsida; Vitales; Vitaceae
Description: long non-coding RNA (VVIN_LNC008205)
Source: RNAcentral